UCGAUCUUAUGAUGAAAUAUUUCGGAUGUAAACACAGACCUGUUCUGAAUGCGCAAAACCGUGUGGAUUUUUCCGUUGCCUUCCUUCUGACAAGAUCA
Molecule: small nucleolar RNA, 98 nt
Filed under: Aspergillus aculeatus ATCC 16872
Lineage: Eukaryota; Fungi; Ascomycota; Eurotiomycetes; Eurotiales; Aspergillaceae
Description: Small nucleolar RNA Z13/snr52
Rfam family: Small nucleolar RNA Z13/snr52
About the family: Z13 or snr52 is a member of the C/D class of snoRNA which contain the C (UGAUGA) and D (CUGA) box motifs.
Source: Rfam by way of RNAcentral